AUUGAACGCUGGCGGCAUGCUUUACACAUGCAAGUCGAACGGUAACAGGUUAAGCUGACGGGUGGCGAACGGGUGAGUAAUGCAUCGGAACGUGCCCGAUCGUGGGGGAUGACGCCGCGAAAGCUGCGCUAAUACCGCAUACGAUCUGAGGAUGAAAGCGGGGGACCGUAAGGACUCGCGCGAUCGGAGCGGCCGAUGUCAGAUUAGGUAGUGGGUGGGGUAAAGGCUCACCAAGCCAACGAUCUGUAGCUGGUCGGAGAGGAAGACCAGCCACACUGGGACUGAGACACGGCCCAGCCUCCUACGGGAGGCAGCAGUGGGGAAUGUUGGACAAUGGGCGAAAGCCUGAUCCAGCAAUGCGGCGUGCAGGAAGAAGGCCUUCGGGUUGUAAACUGCUUUUGUACGGAGCGAAAAGGCCCUCUCUAAUACAGUGGGCUCAUGACGGUACCGUAAGAAUAAGCACCGGCUAACUACGUGCCAGCCGCCGCCGUAA
This 493-nucleotide ribosomal RNA is filed under the name uncultured bacterium. RNAcentral describes it as "partial 16S ribosomal RNA". It matches the Rfam family "Bacterial small subunit ribosomal RNA", at positions 29 to 523 of the family's 1533-position model. The record is from RNAcentral.